This 460-nucleotide ribosomal RNA is filed under the name uncultured bacterium. Its description in RNAcentral is "partial 16S ribosomal RNA". It matches the Rfam family "Bacterial small subunit ribosomal RNA", at positions 338 to 795 of the family's 1533-position model. The record is from RNAcentral.
CCUACGGGGGACAGCAGUGAGGAAUAUUGGUCAAUGGACGAGAGUCUGAACCAGCCAAGUAGCGUGAAGGAUGACUGCCCUAUGGGUUGUAAACUUCUUUUAUAUGGGAAUAAAACGUUCCACGUGUGGGAUUUUGUAUGUACCAUAUGAAUAAGGAUCGGCUAACUCCGUGCCAGCAGCCGCGGUAAUACGGAGGAUCCGAGCGUUAUCCGGAUUUAUUGGGUUUAAAGGGAGCGUAGGUGGAUUGUUAAGUCAGUUGUGAAAGUUUGCGGCUCAACCGUAAAAUUGCAGUUGAAACUGGCAGUCUUGAGUAUAGUAGAGGUGGGCGGAAUUCGUGGUGUAGCGGUGAAAUGCUUAGAUAUCACGAAGAACUCCGAUUGCGAAGGCAGUUCACUGGACUGCAACUGACACUGAGGCUCGAAAGUGUGGGUAUCAAACAGGAUUAGAUACCCGAGUAGUC